GAUGAAGAACGUAGCGAAACGCGAUAAGUAAUGUGAAUUGCAGAAUUCAGUGAAUCAUCGAAUCUUUGAACGCACAUUGCGCCCGCCAGUAUUCUGGCGGGCAUGCCUGUUCGAGCGUCAUUUCAACCCUCAAGCACAGCUUGGUGUUGGGACUCGCGUUAAUUCGCGUUCCCCAAAUUGAUUGGCGGUCACGUCGAGCUUCCAUAGCGUAGUAGUAAAACCCUCGUUACUGGUAAUCGUCGCGGCCACGCCGUUAAACCCCAACUUCUGAAUGUUGACCUCGGAUCAGGUAGGAAUACCCGCUGAACUUAAGCAUAUCAAUAAGCGGAGGA
This 332-nucleotide unclassified non-coding RNA is filed under the name soil metagenome. RNAcentral's name for it is "partial contains 5.8S ribosomal RNA, internal transcribed spacer 2, and large subunit ribosomal RNA". The stretch from base 1 to 120 matches the Rfam family "5.8S ribosomal RNA", at positions 35 to 154 of the family's 154-position model. The record is from RNAcentral.